GGCGCUGUGCCGGGCGGCACGGCUGAGCGUGAGGGGUUCGCCGCGGCUGAUCGUGGGUGGAGAGGGCGGUUCCUCCCCGCGCAGCACCUC
This 90-nucleotide transfer RNA is filed under the name Streptomyces sp. TUS-ST3. RNAcentral describes it as "tRNA-Leu". The record is from RNAcentral. Lineage: Bacteria; Bacillati; Actinomycetota; Actinomycetes; Kitasatosporales; Streptomycetaceae.